GAUGAACGCUGGCGGCGUGCCUAAUACAUGCAAGUCGAGCGAACGGACGAGAAGCUUGCUUCUCUGAUGUUAGCGGCGGACGGGUGAGUAACACGUGGAUAACCUACCUAUAAGACUGGGAUAACUUCGGGAAACCGGAGCUAAUACCGGAUGAUAUUUUGAACCGCAUGGUUCAAAAGUGAAAGACGUUCUUGCUGUCACUUAUAGAUGGAUCCGCGCUGCGUUAGCUAGUUGGUAAGGUAACGGCUUACCAAGGCAACGAUGCAUAGCCGACCUGAGAGGGUGAUCGGCCACACUGGAACGGAGACACGGUCCAGACUCCUACGGGAGGCAGCAGUAGGAAAUCUUCAGCAAUGGGCGAAAGCCUGACGGAGCAACGCGGCGUGAGUGAUGAAGGUCUUCGGAUCGUAAAACUCUGUUAUUAGGGAAGAACAUAUGUGUAAGUAACUGUGCACAUCUUGACGGUACCUAAUCAGAAAGCCACGGCUAACUACGU
RNAcentral lists this ribosomal RNA (496 nucleotides) under uncultured bacterium. RNAcentral describes it as "partial 16S ribosomal RNA". It matches the Rfam family "Bacterial small subunit ribosomal RNA", at positions 28 to 506 of the family's 1533-position model. The record is from RNAcentral.